This 529-nucleotide ribosomal RNA is filed under the name Metschnikowia cibodasensis. Its description in RNAcentral is "eukaryotic LSU rRNA". It matches the Rfam family "Eukaryotic large subunit ribosomal RNA", at positions 66 to 668 of the family's 3401-position model. The record is from RNAcentral. Lineage: Eukaryota; Fungi; Ascomycota; Pichiomycetes; Serinales; Metschnikowiaceae.
CAACAGGGUUGCCUCCAGUAACGGCGAGUGCAAGCGGCAAAAGCUCAAAUUUGAAAUCCUUCGGGAAUUGUAUUUUGAAGGUGGGUUUGGUUAGGAAAAGAUACUUUAAGUCCAUUGGAAAAUGGCGCCAUGGAGGGUGAUAGCCCCGUAAAAGUCCCCCUUUUCCUUCUAUCCAUUCCCUCCAAAGAGUCGAGUUGUUUGGGAAUGCAGCUCUAAGUGGGUGGUAAAUUCCAUCUAAAGCUAAAUAUUGGCGAGAGACCGAUAGCGAACAAGUACAGUGAUGGAAAGAUGAAAAGCACUUUGAAAAGAGAGUGAAAAAGUACGUGAAAUUGUUGAAAGGGAAGGGCUUGCAAGCAGACACAACCUCGGUUGGGCCAGCAUCGGAGUGGGGGGAGACAAAAAAGAAAAGGAAUGUAACUCUUUCGAGUAUUAUAGCCUUCUCUCAUAUCUCCACCCCCUUCCGAGGCCUGCGAUUCUUCAAGGAUGCUGGCGUAAUGGUUGCAAGUCGCCCGUCUUGAAACACGGACCA